AGUGGCGUACGGGUGAGUAACGCGUGGGGAACCUGCCCUUGAGUGGGGGAUAACGUUUCUAACGAGACGCUAAUACCGCAUAAUACAGAGACCGGGCAUCCGGAUUCUGUCAAAGGUGGCCUCUGAUUAAAGCUGUCGCUUGAGGAUGGCCCCGCGUCCGAUUAGCUAGAUGGUGAGGUAACGGCUCACCAUGGCUCCGAUCGGUAGCCGGCCUGAGAGGGUGUCCGGCCACACUGGGACUGAGAUACGGCCCAGACUCCUACGGAGGCAGCAGUCGAGAGGCUUCCACAAUGGGGGAAACCCUGAUGGAGCGACGCCGCGUGGGUGAGGAAGGUCUUCGGAUCGUAAAACCCUGUCAGGAGGGAAGAAAACCGCAUUGGUUAAUACCCUUUGCGCUUGACGGUACCUCCAGAGGAAGCUCCGGCUAACUCCGUGCCAGCAGCCGCGGUAACGCGGAGGGAGCAAGCGUUGUUCGGAAUUACUGGGCGUAAAGGGCGUGUAGGCGGUUCCGUAAGUCGGGGGUGAAAUCCAGUGGCUCAACCACUGGCCUGCCUUCGAAACUACGGAACUUGAGGCCGUGAGGGGAAUGCGGAAUUCCUGGUGUAUCGGUGAAAUGAGUUGAUAUCAGGAGGAACACCGGUGGCGAAGGCGGCAUUCUGGCGCGGUUCUGACGCUGAGGCGCGAAAGCAUGGGGAGCAAACGGGAUUAGAUACCCCGGUAGUCCAUGCCGUAAACGAUGAGAACUAGGUGUCGGGGGAUCGGCCCCCUCGGUGCCGAAGCUAACGCAUUAAGUUCUCCGCCUGGGGAGUACGGUCGCAAG
Molecule: ribosomal RNA, 820 nt
Filed under: uncultured Planctomycetota bacterium
Lineage: Bacteria; Pseudomonadati; Planctomycetota
Description: bacterial SSU rRNA
Rfam family: Bacterial small subunit ribosomal RNA
Source: RNAcentral